GACGAACGCUGGCGGCGUGCUUAACACAUGCAAGUCGAACGGAAAGGCCCUGCUUGCAGGGUACUCGAGUGGCGAACGGGUGAGUAACACGUGGGUGAUCUGCCCUGCACUUCGGGAUAAGCCUGGGAAACUGGGUCUAAUACCGGAUAGGAGCCAUUUUUAGUGUGAUGGUUGGAAAGUUUUUUCGGUGUAGGAUGAGCUCGCGGCCUAUCAGCUUGUUGGUGGGGUAAUGGCCUACCAAGGCGGCGACGGGUAACCGGCCUGAGAGGGUGGACGGCCACAUUGGGACUGAGAUACGGCCCAGACUCCUACGGGAGGCAGCAGUGGGGAAUAUUGCACAAUGGGCGCAAGCCUGAUGCAGCGACGCCGCGUGGGGGAUGACGGCCUUCGGGUUGUAAACUCCUUUCGCUAGGGACGAAGCUUUUUGUGACGGUACCUAGAUAAGAAGCACCGGCUAACUACGU
Molecule: ribosomal RNA, 464 nt
Filed under: uncultured bacterium
Lineage: Bacteria
Description: partial 16S ribosomal RNA
Rfam family: Bacterial small subunit ribosomal RNA
Source: RNAcentral